This 253-nucleotide ribosomal RNA is filed under the name uncultured bacterium. Its description in RNAcentral is "partial 16S ribosomal RNA". It matches the Rfam family "Bacterial small subunit ribosomal RNA", at positions 524 to 776 of the family's 1533-position model. The record is from RNAcentral.
UACGGAGGGUGCAAGCGUUAUCCGGAUUCACUGGGUUUAAAGGGUGCGUAGGUGGGCAAGUAAGUCAGUGGUGAAAUCUCCGGGCUUAACCCGGAAACUGCCAUUGAUACUAUUUGUCUUGAAUACUGUGGAGGUCAGCGGAAUAUGUCAUGUAGCGGUGAAAUGCUUAGAUAUGACAUAGAACACCAAUUGUGAAGGCAGCUGGCUACACAAAUAUUGACACUGAGGCACGAAAGCGUGGGGAUCAAACAGG